GACGUAGGGCGCGAGCGUUGUCCGGAUUUAUUGGGCGUAAAGAGCUUGUAGGCGGUUUGUCGCGUCUGCUGUGAAAAUCCGGGGCUCAACCCCGGACUUGCAGUGGGUACGGGCAGACUAGAGUGUGGUAGGGGAGACUGGAAUUCCUGGUGUAGCGGUGGAAUGCGCAGAUAUCAGGAGGAACACCGGUGGCGAAGGCGGGUCUCUGGGCCGAUACUGACACUGAGGAGCGAAAGCGUGGGGAGCGAACAGG
RNAcentral lists this ribosomal RNA (253 nucleotides) under uncultured bacterium. Its description in RNAcentral is "partial 16S ribosomal RNA". It matches the Rfam family "Bacterial small subunit ribosomal RNA", at positions 524 to 776 of the family's 1533-position model. The record is from RNAcentral.